Silurus meridionalis is the source of this 312-nucleotide long non-coding RNA. RefSeq lists it as uncharacterized. Lineage: Eukaryota; Metazoa; Chordata; Actinopteri; Siluriformes; Siluridae. The record is from RefSeq and is a predicted model, not a curated record. The transcript has 3 exons.
CACUGUGCAAUUCAUCAUUCACGCUGGACGUUUUUUGUUUGUGUGUAUCCUAGCAACUGUAGUAAACAAACCAGCGGCUAAUAAUCACUGGGUGAAAAGUUGUGAUUUUGCUGCAGCGCGUCGAAAGUAAUAAACUAAAAAUAAAAAUGGAUUCUGUUCCCCCAUGUGGUGAUGGCCCCCAGAACACUCCAGUGGAAAGGAUACCCAAAAGUGCAAACCCUGAAAUGGGAGAUGCUCCCAAAAUUAUUAAGUAUUAUGUGGAUGCCAUCAUACCGAACAAUUUUAGGGGACGUCAGCUGACUCCAGACCGAA